UGGGGAAUCUUGCGCAAUGGGCGAAAGCCUGAACUAGCAACGCCGCGUGUGCGAAGAAGGCCUUCGGGUUGUAAAGCACUUUUUGAGAGGAUGAGGAAGGACGGUACUCUCAGAAUAAGUCUCGGCUAACUACGUGCCAGCAGCCGCGGUAACACGUAGGAGGCAAACGUUAUCCGGAUUUACUGGGCGUAAAGCGCGUGUAGGUGGUUUGGUAAGUAGGGCGUGAAAGCUCCUGGCUCAACUGGGAGAGGCCGUUCUAAACUGCAGAGCUAGAGGAUGGUAGAGGUAGGUGGAGUUCCGGGUGUAGCGGUGGAAUGCGCAGAUAUCCGGAGGAACACCAGUGGCGAAAGCGGCCUCCUGGACCAUUCCUGACACUCAGACGCGAAAGCUAGGGUAGCAAACG
RNAcentral lists this ribosomal RNA (403 nucleotides) under uncultured prokaryote. Its description in RNAcentral is "bacterial SSU rRNA". It matches the Rfam family "Bacterial small subunit ribosomal RNA", at positions 355 to 774 of the family's 1533-position model. The record is from RNAcentral.